This 500-nucleotide unclassified non-coding RNA is filed under the name Hevea brasiliensis (rubber tree). Lineage: Eukaryota; Viridiplantae; Streptophyta; Magnoliopsida; Malpighiales; Euphorbiaceae. The record is from RNAcentral.
AGCCCAAUUAUCAACCUCGUCAGCCCUAGAAGAUGUAAAUUCCUUACUCGAAUCCCCCCUAUUAGACCCAUUACUAUUCCUCCUAUUCUCAUCAGAAACCCUAGACGAACCCCAUUUCGAAUCAGACGAAUCAUCCCCAUUAGAAUACCUAUUGUUCCUCUCAUACGAACCAUUCGAACCAUAAUUCCUGAAUCCACCACCGAGCCUGUUCCGGUCGAGCUCCUCCGCCGUCCGUUGGCGAGGGCCGGUGGGUAGUACAAUCAAAUCCUCAUGCCUGGGGCCUUGGGAAGAAGAUCUCGACCCACUAAUUCCAUAGGUGUUGAACUCAGCCAAUGAGAGAGUUUGCCCUUUCUUCUUCGGCUUGGUGGCCAAGGCGUCGUUGAGGGAAGGAAAAUCCAGGCUGAGUUCCUGCUGUUUCUGCUGUUCCUCUUCUUUAAGGAGUUGAGCUUCGUGUUCCUCGGAAUCGAGGGCCCAAGCGCCUGGUUUUCCCCAUGGAGAAA